This 525-nucleotide ribosomal RNA is filed under the name uncultured Methanomicrobiales archaeon. Its description in RNAcentral is "bacterial SSU rRNA". It matches the Rfam family "Archaeal small subunit ribosomal RNA", at positions 339 to 868 of the family's 1478-position model. The record is from RNAcentral. Lineage: Archaea; Methanobacteriati; Methanobacteriota; Methanomicrobia; Methanomicrobiales.
GCGCGAAAACUUUACAAUGCGGGAAACCGUGAUAAGGGAACUCCGAGUGCCCGUAAAAUCGGGCUGUCCACCAGUUUAAAUAACUGGUGAAGAAAGGGCCGGGCAAGACCGGUGCCAGCCGCCGCGGUAAUACCGGCGGCUCGAGUGGUGGCCACUAUUACUGGGCUUAAAGCGUUCGUAGCUGGUCUGUUAAGUCUCUGGGGAAAUCUGCUGGCUUAACCAACAGGCGUCUCAGGGAUACUGGCAGACUAGGGACCGGGAGAGGUGAGAGGUACUCCAGGGGUAGGAGUGAAAUCCUGUAAUCCUUGGGGGACCACCUGUGGCGAAGGCGUCUCACCAGAACGGCUCCGACAGUGAGGGACGAAAGCUGGGGGAGCAAACCGGAUUAGAUACCCGGGUAGUCCCAGCCGUAAACUAUGCGCGUUAGGUGUAUCGGUGACCACGAGUCAUCGAGGUGCCGAAGAGAAAUCGUGAAACGUGCCGCCUGGGAAGUACGGUCGCAAGGCUGAAACUUAAAGGAAUUGG